GACAGAGGCCUCGAGCGUUAGGCGGAAUCACUGGGCUUAAAGCGUGUGUAGGCGGGCCCGUAAGUGUCUUGUGAAAUCCCCCGGCUCAACCGGGGAACGGCUGGGCAUACUGCGGGUCUUGGGCCGACUAGGGGCAGCCGGAACAAGCGGUGGAGCGGUGAAAUGCGUAGAUAUCGCUUGGAACGCCGAAGGUGAAAACAGGCUGCUGGGGUCGCGCCGACGCUGAGACACGAAAGCGUGGGUAGCAAACAGG
This 253-nucleotide ribosomal RNA is filed under the name uncultured bacterium. RNAcentral's name for it is "partial 16S ribosomal RNA". It matches the Rfam family "Bacterial small subunit ribosomal RNA", at positions 524 to 776 of the family's 1533-position model. The record is from RNAcentral.